Anastrepha ludens (Mexican fruit fly) is the source of this 714-nucleotide long non-coding RNA. RefSeq lists it as uncharacterized. The transcript is spliced from 3 exons. Lineage: Eukaryota; Metazoa; Arthropoda; Insecta; Diptera; Tephritidae. The record is from RefSeq and is a predicted model, not a curated record.
GUCAGCCAUGAAGGAAUUAUAAAAGAUUAUGACACUUUGGCAACCACCAAAAAUGUACAGAAAACAGAUGCCAAGGCGAAUUUAUUACAGGUGACAGCAAACACAUAUAAGUAAAACCCUACAUGUAUUUGUUGUUGCGUUUGGUGCAAGCAUCAUGUCAAAAUCAGCUGUUCAUUUGUAGUAUGAUUUACUUGUGAAACAGAAAUAGUCACAAAAUAAAAAGUCGCUACAUUUCCCAGAGUUCAUUGAAGAUUGUAGCUUAUGUGCAAGGUGGAUUUAUUAUGUGUGAAUUAAUUUGCCACGGGCUUGCAUAAGGAGAAAUUGAAUGUGGAGAGUGAAGUUUGGACGCGGAAAAGCUCAAAAUAGAGAAACAUAACGCAAAAAAACUUCGAAACAAGGGCAAAAUUAAAGUCUCACUGCGUACAGAAAGUAAUCAUAUUGAUGGCUAUCAGAAAUACACUUUGGCUGCUAAUGACUAUGAUGACUUCAUACUAAAUACUGUUGAGAUGCGCAUACCAUAUUGCAUAAAAAAGUUUGCUUCAUGUUUUUUGUGGAAAAUCGAUCGCUAUGAUUGACAUCUAAAACUGAACACUUAAAAAUUCUGGAUAACAAUUUUGUAACAUGCUUGUGAUUCAUUUUAUAUAAUUCAACUUGAUUGAUUUUAUAGCCUGUAUUUAGACCAUAAGUUCAUGAUCAUUGAAAAAUUGAUUAAAA